GUACAAGACUUGAGAAAGGUCAACAAGAGGAUAGAAGAUAUUCAUCCGACUGUUCCAAACCCUUACAAUUUGCUCAGUAACUGUUCAUCGAUGAGAAACAGGGGUAUGCUAAAGGGGUCCUAACACAAAGGUUGGGACCCUGAAAACGCCUUGUGGCCUACCUGUCUAAGAAAUUGGACCCUGUGGCCUCCGGCUGGCCACCGUGCCUAAGGAUGGUGGCUGCUAUUGCUGUCCUGAUCAAGGACACUGGAAAAUUGACUUUGGGACAGCCACUCACCAUCCUAACACCCCACGCAGUGGAGGCCUUGGUAAAGCAGCCCCCAGACCGCUGGCUCUCUAAUUCUCGCACCAAGCCUUGUUACUGGAUACAGAACGGGUUCAGUUUGGGCCCGUAGUCGCCCUCAAUCCUGCCACCUUGCUUCCUCUACCAGAGGAGGCAAAACAGCAUGACUGCCUACAAAUCCUCGCAGAAGUACAUGGAACCAGGCCGGACCUAUCGGACCAGCCUCUUCAGAAUGCUGACCACACAUGGUACACGGAUGACAACAGCUUCUUGGCAGAGGGAGAGUGAAAGGCUGGAGCUGCGGUCACUACGGAGGACAAAGUGAUUUGGGCGAAAGCCCU
This 624-nucleotide long non-coding RNA is filed under the name Rattus norvegicus (Norway rat). Its description in RNAcentral is "long non-coding RNA NONRATT021432". Lineage: Eukaryota; Metazoa; Chordata; Mammalia; Rodentia; Muridae. The record is from RNAcentral.